RNAcentral lists this ribosomal RNA (497 nucleotides) under uncultured bacterium. Its description in RNAcentral is "partial 16S ribosomal RNA". It matches the Rfam family "Bacterial small subunit ribosomal RNA", at positions 28 to 507 of the family's 1533-position model. The record is from RNAcentral.
GAUGAACGCUGGCGGCGUGCCUAAUACAUGCAAGUCGAGCGAACAGACGAGGAGCUUGCUCCUCUGACGUUAGCGGCGGACGGGUGAGUAACACGUGGAUAACCUACCUAUAAGACUGGGAUAACUUCGGGAAACCGGAGCUAAUACCGGAUAAUAUAUUGAACCGCAGGGUUCAAUAGUGAAAGACGGUUUUGCUGUCACUUAUAGAUGGAUCCGCGCCGCAUUAGCUAGUUGGUAAGGUAACGGCUUACCAAGGCAACGAUGCGUAGCCGACCUGAGAGGGUGAUCGGCCACACUGGAACUGAGACACGGUCCAGACUCCUACGGGAGGCAGCAGUAGGGAAUCUUCCGCAAUGGGCGAAAGCUUGACGGAGCAACGCCGCGUGAGUGAUGAAGGUCUUCGGAUCGUAAAACUCUGUUAUUAGGGAAGAACAAAUGUGUAAGUAACUAUGCACGUCUUGACGGUACCUAAUCAGAAAGCCCCGGCUAACUACGUG